Molecule: ribosomal RNA, 497 nt
Filed under: uncultured bacterium
Lineage: Bacteria
Description: partial 16S ribosomal RNA
Rfam family: Bacterial small subunit ribosomal RNA
Source: RNAcentral
GAUGAACGCUGGCGGCGUGCCUAAUACAUGCAAGUCGAGCGAACGGACGAGAAGCUUGCUUCCCUGAUGUUAGCGGCGGACGGGUGAGUAACAAGUGGAUAACCUACCUCUAAGACUGGGAUAACUUCGGGAAACCGGAGAUAAUAACGGAUAAUAUUUUGAACCGCAUGGUUCAAAAGUGAAAGACGGUCCUGCUGUCACUUAUAGAUGGUUCCGUGCUGCAUUAGUUAGUUGGUAAGGUAACGGCUUACCAAGGCAACGAUGCAUAGCCGACCUGAGAGGGUGAUCGGCCACACUGGAACUGAGACACGGUCCAGACUCCUACGGGAGGCAGCAGUAGGGAAUCUUGCGCAAUGGGCGAAAGCCUGACGGAGCAACGCCGCGUGAGUGAUGAAGGUCUUCGGAUCGUAAAGCUCUGUUAUUAGGAAAGAACAGAUGUGUAAUUAACUGUGCACAUCUUGACGGUACCUAAUCAGAAAGCCACGGCUAACUACGUG